Molecule: ribosomal RNA, 587 nt
Filed under: enrichment culture bacterium JMP-38
Lineage: Bacteria
Description: bacterial SSU rRNA
Rfam family: Bacterial small subunit ribosomal RNA
Source: RNAcentral
AACGCUGGCGGCAGGCCUAACACAUGCAAGUCGAGCGGUUGAGAGAAGCUUGCUUCUCUUGAGAGCGGCGGACGGGUGAGUAAUGCCUAGGAAUCUGCCUGGUAGUGGGGGAUAACGUUCGGAAACGGACGCUAAUACCGCAUACGUCCUACGGGAGAAAGCAGGGGACCUUCGGGCCUUGCGCUAUCAGAUGAGCCUAGGUCGGAUUAGCUAGUUGGUGAGGUAAUGGCUCACCAAGGCGACGAUCCGUAACUGGUCUGAGAGGAUGAUCAGUCACACUGGAACUGAGACACGGUCCAGACUCCUACGGGAGGCAGCAGUGGGGAAUAUUGGACAAUGGGCGAAAGCCUGAUCCAGCCAUGCCGCGUGUGUGAAGAAGGUCUUCGGAUUGUAAAGCACUUUAAGUUGGGAGGAAGAGCAGUUACCUAAUACGUGAUUGUUUUGACGUUACCGACAGAAUAAGCACCGGCUAACUCUGUGCCAGCAGCCGCGGUAAUACAGAGGGUGCAAGCGUUAAUCGGAAUUACUGGGCGUAAAGCGCGCGUAGGUGGUUAGUUAAGUUGGAUGUGAAAUCCCCGGGCUCAACC